Gregarina niphandrodes is the source of this 79-nucleotide non-coding RNA. The record is from the annotation of a RefSeq genome assembly. Lineage: Eukaryota; Apicomplexa; Conoidasida; Eugregarinorida; Gregarinidae.
CCCGGGGUAGCUCAGUUGGCAGAGCGUCUGACUGUAGACAGAUAUUAGGUAGUCGGCGGUUCGAUUGCGUCCUACGGGA